This 1379-nucleotide unclassified non-coding RNA is filed under the name Hevea brasiliensis (rubber tree). Lineage: Eukaryota; Viridiplantae; Streptophyta; Magnoliopsida; Malpighiales; Euphorbiaceae. The record is from RNAcentral.
UUAUAGCAAAUAGAACUCUGCAAGUCACAAAUCAUCUCCUAAAACAUUCUACAUCAAGUUUUAAUAACAGAUCCAAGUGUACCACGACAGAAACAAAUACAUACACCACAAUGCGAGUACUACAGUCCUGGAAACUAGACACUAAACUACCAGAGAAUCGAAGUUUACGAUUACAAUAAUCAAAUUGAAUCUAAAAGUCAGUAAACAUGUAACAGAAAAUGUCCUAAGGUUGAUGCAGAUGAUGCAUCAGCAGCUAAUAGGCGCAGGUGAUUGAUGCUGCUGGGGAUGAACCAACCCUGGUUGAUUAAUAUUGUUAUUUUCCAUAGCUAACUCAGUUCCUUCCGUUUUUUUCUCCUCCUCUUUCGGCCCAUCUUCACCAUCAUUGCUGUGGGCAUCCUUAGAUACCCCGUCAACAGCAUGUUCUGCUUGGCCGGCACUCCCUCCUACGGUGACAUUGGUCCCUUCUGCAGCGAGUUCUUCUAGUUUGUUUUGAGACUCCAGCUUUUCUUCAGAUACUUGUUUUUCCUCGAUACCUGCAUUUUCUGACUUGUGUCUACCAACAUCAGCACUGUGAACUUCCUCAGAUUCAGGCUCUCGCUCGUCCCCAGAGGGCAGUUCAGCACCUUUUAAGCACUUAUCUUUUUCCACAGCUUCCACCUCUUUCUUCUUCUUGUCCUCCAUUUCAGCUUCUGCAUUUUCCGACUUGUCCUGAUUGCCGUCAUCAGCACUGUGAAAUUCCUCCGAUUCAGAAUCUGGCUUCUCCGCAGGGGGCAGUUUAGCAUCCUCUAUGCGCUCAUCUUCUACCACAGCUUCCGCCUCUUUCUUCCCCUUGUCCUGCAUUUCAGCUUCUGCUUCUCCAGCUUUCUUCUCCAAGUUUUCAUUUUCUUCUUUGGAAGAUUCCAUCCCUUUAGUUUCUGCACUUCCCAUCUCAGCUUUUGCAGCAGCCUUUUCCUUGCUAUCUUUCUUUGUACCAGAGGAUGUCCGGCGUUUUUUCUUUGGUGAUUCAAGUAGUGAAGGUGGUCUCAUUGCCUUGACCUUCUCACUGAUCCUUGCUGAUCUCCUUGGAGUCUCACCGGUACUCCAAUCAAAUUCUGAUAUACCAGGGCUUCCAGGAUGUGCUUUGAGAUACUGCUCCAACUGUUUGCGGUUUUUGACCUCCUCUCCUGUUGGAGCGAUGAAUACUACCUCACUCUUCUUCGGUGUACCCCCUUGCUUUGGGGUGAACAAUUUUUUCCAAGAAGGAGGUGCAGGAAGCUCCACCGACACAAUUUCAUCAUCAUGACUCCCCUUCUCCAUAGGACUUGCCAUGGUUAGAAAAAAAAAAUUCCAACUUUGUUUACAGUAAAAUAAAAUUCACAAAGAUAGAAAUUGAAGUAAAG